Molecule: long non-coding RNA, 432 nt
Organism: Saccostrea echinata
Lineage: Eukaryota; Metazoa; Mollusca; Bivalvia; Ostreida; Ostreidae
Exons: 2
Source: RefSeq, a predicted model, not a curated record
UAAUGAAUGGUUUGACAGGAAUGCACUAGUAACCCGAGAACACGAGAAAAAGGAAAAGUACCUUCAAAGACAAGGCCUCCGACUUCGAUCCCUCCUUCAAUGCCAACGAAAUUUGGGGAGUCUUGGAACACGUCCAGAAUUUUUUGUGAUAUGGCAUCAACUGGGGGUGGAGGUGGACCACCACCGGUCUUCAGGCGAUGUGUUUUCUGGCUAACGAUUUCCCCCUUAGCUUUAGAACAAGCUUUCCGAUACUUUUCUUUGACUUGUUCGACUGUUCUUAAAACCCCACCCCUUGAGUUUACAGCUUCUGUGAUCUCGCGCCAUGCAGCAGCCUUUUUAACAUUUGUUACUUGGUUAGUAUGUUUUGAUUUUAUAACCCCAAUAUGUUUCUCCACUUGCUCUACUAAAAAUAAAGUCUCAUCAGCUGAAAAA